RNAcentral lists this ribosomal RNA (510 nucleotides) under uncultured bacterium. RNAcentral describes it as "partial 16S ribosomal RNA". It matches the Rfam family "Bacterial small subunit ribosomal RNA", at positions 28 to 507 of the family's 1533-position model. The record is from RNAcentral.
GACGAACGCUGGCGGCGUGCUUAACACAUGCAAGUCGAAUGAAGAGCGAUGGAAGCUUGCUUCUAUCAAUCUUAGUGGCGAACGGGUGAGUAACGCGUAAUCAACCUGCCCUUCAGAGGGGGACAACAGUUGGAAACGACUGCUAAUACCGCAUACGAUCUAAUCUCGGCAUCGAGGAUAGAUGAAAGGUGGCCUCUACAUGUAAGCUAUCACUGAAGGAGGGGAUUGCGUCUGAUUAGCUAGUUGGAGGGGUAACGGCCCACCAAGGCGAUGAUCAGUAGCCGGGCUGAGAGGAUGAACGGCCACAUUGGGACUGAGACACGGCCCAGACUCCUACGGGAGGCAGCAGUGGGGAAUCUUCCGCAAUGGACGAAAGUCUGACGGAGCAACGCCGCGUGAGUGAUGACGGCCUUCGGGUUGUAAAGCUCUGUUAAUCGGGACGAAAGGCCUUCUUGCGAAUAGGGAGAAGGAUUGACGGUACCGGAAUAGAAAGCCACGGCUAACUACGUG